This 468-nucleotide ribosomal RNA is filed under the name uncultured bacterium. RNAcentral's name for it is "partial 16S ribosomal RNA". It matches the Rfam family "Bacterial small subunit ribosomal RNA", at positions 28 to 507 of the family's 1533-position model. The record is from RNAcentral.
GACGAACGCUGGCGGCGUGCCUAAUACAUGCAAGUCGAGCGGAAAGGCCAUGCUCUUGUGCCAUGCUCGUGAGCAGAACAGGGGUGAGUAACGCGUGUAAAAUCUCCCUGUCUUUGGGGGAAAAUCUGGAGAAUGGGGCUCUAAUACCAUAUAAGCUCUUGAAGCACGGGGGUGAAUGGUGAAAUACGGCGGUUCGGGAUGGAAUGGCGGCCUAUCAGCUUGUUGGGGAGGUAGUGACUUAACAAGGCUUCGACGGGUAGCCGGCCUGAGAGUGUGACCGGCCACAAUGGGACUGAGGUAGGGCCCAGACGGCAACGGGAGGCAGCGGUGGAGAAUAUUGCACAAUGGGCCGAAGCCUGAUGCAGCGACGUCGCGUGCGAGAUGACUGCCUUCGGGGUAUAAACCUCUUUCGCCUGUGACGAAGCGUGAGUGACGGUAAUUAGUAAGGAAGCACCGGCUAACUACGUG